CUUCCGGUUUCCUUUCCCUCAGCUAUUCCAUGGCUUUUCGUGUGGACAAAUCGGGAGGUGGUGUAAACUGGUUUUUGGUGAAAUUCGGCUCGGCCUCAUGCGAACCUAUCUAGGUCCGUCUCUGGAGUGGCCUGUCAUCGAUCGCGCCCUCCAUCGCUGAGCGACACAAGUGGAACCCCCCAGGACUGCAUUCUGCGAAACUACCCUGCUUUUCCCCCAGUUUUGGUCUGUGAACACAUUUGGGAAAUUCUUCUGAUCCUACCGCUACUCUCUUGAGGUACAGUAAAUUGUCUUUGACUUCCAUCACCUUUUGUAAUAUUACAAUUGCCAUCUAUUGAGUUCCUAUGAUCAGCCUGGCAUUGUACUAAGUGCUUUAUAUUUUCUUGUUCAUUUUUUUAUGCCAACAUAAAUGAGUUUGACUCAAUUCUUAUUAUAACCUGCCAAAAUAAGUAUUCCUCUUCCUUUUUACAGAGAGAGAAACAAGGGGAAAAAAAGUUAAUUGCCUGAGGAUACACUGCUAGUGUUGCGGGACAAAUAGAGACGGGAGAGGCCAAACAGAAUUCAGGAGAACCCUUUAUUAUUAAGGUGAUCACUGGCUCAGUCGGACUGAGGUCCAGAAAGUCUGAGCCCGGAACAAAGGGAUCAAUCACCUUUUAAGCAGUUUGUGGCGGGAGUUUGGUGCUACAGGAAGCCUACUUGCAGAAGCAAGAACAAAGGCAGUUAAUUAUUCUUUUACAUUUGUUACACCACAUGUCUUACAUCCUUGGGAAUACAUGCUUUUGUAGCAAUUGCUUAUCAACCUUGUGACUUUACAGCCGCGCUAGGGAGGGAAGCAGGAACUCGUGGUGCCUCAAGGAACGUGAAACGGUGGAACACA
Molecule: long non-coding RNA, 877 nt
Filed under: Pan troglodytes (chimpanzee)
Lineage: Eukaryota; Metazoa; Chordata; Mammalia; Primates; Hominidae
Description: lincRNA
Source: RNAcentral